AAGGUGUUGCACUAUGUUAGACCAUCGUUUACAUGGACACAAGGUGUUGUACUAUGUUAGACCAUCGUUUACAUGGACACAAGGUGUUGUACUAUGUUAGACCAUCGUUUACAUGGACACAAGGUGCUGCACUAUGUUAGACCAUCGUUUACAUGGACACAAGGUGCUGCACUAUGUUAGACCAUCGUUUACAUGGACACAAGGUGCUGCACUAUGUUAGACCAUCGUUUACAUGGACACAAGGUGUUGUACUAUGUUAGACCAUCGUUUACAUGGACACAAGGUGCUGCACUAUGUUAGACCAUCGUUUACAUGGACACAAGGUGCUGCACUAUGUUAGACCAUCGUUUACAUGGACACAAGGUGCUGUACU
Molecule: long non-coding RNA, 373 nt
Organism: Oncorhynchus keta (chum salmon)
Lineage: Eukaryota; Metazoa; Chordata; Actinopteri; Salmoniformes; Salmonidae
Exons: 3
Source: RefSeq, a predicted model, not a curated record